UACGUAGGGUGCAAGCGUUGUCCGGAAUUAUUGGGCGUAAAGAGCUCGUAGGCGGUUUGUCGCGUCUGCUGUGAAAACUCGGGGCUUAACCCCGGGCCUGCAGUGGGUACGGGCAGACUAGAGUGCGGUAGGGGAGACUGGAAUUCCUGGUGUAGCGGUGAAAUGCGCAGAUAUCAGGAAGAACACCCGUGGCGAAGGCGGCUCUCUGGGACGGUACUGACGCUGAGACGCGAAAGCGUGGGGAGCGAACAGG
Molecule: ribosomal RNA, 253 nt
Filed under: uncultured bacterium
Lineage: Bacteria
Description: partial 16S ribosomal RNA
Rfam family: Bacterial small subunit ribosomal RNA
Source: RNAcentral